RNAcentral lists this ribosomal RNA (602 nucleotides) under uncultured bacterium. RNAcentral describes it as "bacterial SSU rRNA". It matches the Rfam family "Bacterial small subunit ribosomal RNA", at positions 338 to 944 of the family's 1533-position model. The record is from RNAcentral.
CCUACGGGAGGCAGCAGUAAGGAAUAUUGGUCAAUGGGCGGAAGCCUGAACCAGCCAUGCCGCGUGCAGGAAGACGGCCCUACGGGUUGUAAACUGCUUUUGCAGGGGAAUAAACCUUCGUAUGUAUACGAAGUUGAAUGUACUCUGAGAAUAAGGAUCGGCUAACUCCGUGCCAGCAGCCGCGGUAAUACGGAGGAUCCAAGCGUUAUCCGGAUUUAUUGGGUUUAAAGGGUGCGUAGGCGGCCUGUUAAGUCAGGGGUGAAAGACGGUAGCUUAACUAUCGCAGUGCCCUUGAUACUGAUGGGCUUGAAUGUACUAGAGGUAGGCGGAAUGUGACAAGUAGCGGUGAAAUGCAUAGAUAUGUCACAGAACACCAAUUGCGAAGGCAGCUUACUAUGGUAUGAUUGACGCUGAGGCACGAAAGCGUGGGGAUCAAACAGGAUUAGAUACCCUGGUAGUCCACGCCCUAAACGAUGAUACUCGAUGUUAGCGAUAUACAGUUAGCGUCAAAGCGAAAGCGUUAAGUAUUCCACCUGGGGAGUACGCCCGCAAGGUGAACUCAAAUGAAUUGAGNGNGAGAGAGACGACGACGAGGGAGGAGG